GCGUGGAGGAUGAAGGUCUUCGGAUUGUAAACUCCUGUUAGGGGGGACGAAGGGAUGUCGGUGAACAGCCGGCAAACUUGACGGUACCCCCAGAGGAAGCCCCGGCUAACUCUGUGCCAGCAGCCGCGGUAAUACAGAGGGGGCAAGCGUUAUUCGGAAUUAUUGGGCGUAAAGGGCGCGUAGGCGGCCUUGUAAGUCUUGGGUGAAAUCCCUCAGCUCAACUGAGGAACUGCCUCGGAUACUGCAAGGCUUGAGGCCGGGAGAGGGUAGUGGAAUUCCCAGUGUAGCGGUGAAAUGCGU
RNAcentral lists this ribosomal RNA (300 nucleotides) under uncultured bacterium. RNAcentral describes it as "bacterial SSU rRNA". It matches the Rfam family "Bacterial small subunit ribosomal RNA", at positions 399 to 691 of the family's 1533-position model. The record is from RNAcentral.